GGACACCAAAGUGGCGCUGCCGCUGAGAGCUCGGGGCGUUGGGGCGUCCUCAGAGUGUCCCCCCACUCCGUCCUCCAGCGUGUCCUUCAGGACCUGGAUGACCUGAUCCUGACUGAACAAUCCUGAACCAGAAUACCUGGUCACGAGUUUCUGGUCUGAAGCUCAAGAUCAGGAAACAAUCACGUCUGAACAGUACAAAUUGCACAAAAUGUAGGUUUUGUUCAGGCCUAGUCAAAGUCUGUACUACUGAGAUUCUUUAGAUGGUUUGAAAACCCCCAAAUGAGGAUGAAUUAAAACAAUUUUGCAAACCAGAGUAGAUAAAAAAAACUGUGGCAAAACCUGUCAUUAGGUGUGACAAAAAAGUUAAUUGAAAAGAAGUUAAUUUCUCACAGUAGAAAUCGCUUAAGAAAUGAAAAGCUGUGCCGCAGAAAAUCCUGUCUGGACAAAAUAUCAGCUGCUUUCAAGAUAAAUGGACACUGUAGCGUCCAGAACAUCAAUAGUGAGUGAAUGAAUUACAACACUAAUGGGCAGAACUGCACUUUAAAGAUUUUCAAGCACGUGUGUGGAGGCAUUGAUUUUUAAAUGAAGUAUCAGAUCUUAAAUCACUCGGGACCUGAUCAGGACUUAUGAAAAAUGUCCACAUGUUAACAGCUGCUCACCUCUGACUGUAGAGUCAGUGGAAUAAUCAAAUAGUCUGAUACUGUAACAAACCCUGCAGGACGAGGAGCAGUGAUUAUCUUUGAAAAGACGCACUGUGAGCAGGAUGCAAAAGAAGGUAAAUCUGAAAACUGGAGCAAAGACUUGAUUCAUAGAAGGAAAGCUUUUGUAUCAAUAAUUAUGGUAUCUUGGACUAAAGGUUUGCAUGAAGCAACAUUUUUUUUCCUAACUCCACCUGAAAACCCAUUAAAACUAAAUGUAAGAGUAAAAAUCUGAAUGUUUUACCAUCAUCAACAGACCUCAGACGAGCCGUGUUAUGCAAGAUGACCUGAGAAUCCCUGAGAGCUGAAAGCUUUUUGCACGAAACCCGAAUCGAGAUCCUCUAAAUUAAACCAGACAGAUUCUAACCUGCCAAUAAAAUAUGGAACAAUUCCCUCCAGCUUGCGUCAGAAGGAGCCCAGAUAUUGAGACGUAGAUUUCUUUAGGUCGCUUUGCAUGGCUGAGAAGCAGAAUAAAGUUUAUUUUUAUUUAUUUUGUUUGCAUUAAAAAACAUAAAAGUUUAAUUUAUCUACCAGAGAAAAGGAAAACAUAAAAAUACUUAUAGUUUUUCUUAUGCUCAAUUAAAAGCUUUUAAAUAAAGAAAUGCCUCUUUGUAUAAUAAUCGUAACUACAUGAACUAACACCAGGACGAAAGCAACAUUUUAAGCUGAGAUGACUGAUCUCAUUAAGAAAGACUCAUUUUUAGGCCAGAGUAAAAUCCCUGAGCUCCUGAAAUCAGUUUAUUUUCUGCACCUGCUGUGCAGCUAUAAUUGAUUUGGUGGAGGGAUCAGGAAGUACACAGAGUGGCUAUUAUGCAUUAAUUAGAUGAAACUUAACUGAACUGCUUUCCUCUCAGCACACACUCUGAACCUGAAGCAAAGGUGUGACUAUUAUUUUUUCUUUAAUGUGCAACAAUGUGCAUUUAAACACAUGCAGCUGCAUGCCAGAUAAUACUGUGCAGAUUGAAGGUGCUCCCCUCCUUACAUAUUUAUUCUGUUCUUUCAUUUUUGUCUCAUAUGAAUGUUUUAGAUCAUUGAAUAAAGGGUAAUGUCAGGAAAGGUCAUUUGAGUUUUUAAAGUGAAAAAAAAAAAGAUAUCCAAACCAAGCAGGUCCUAUGCGAAUGAAAUAGUUAUUCACUUUAAUUAAUUAUGAAUUUACUUCAAUUAGCCAAUGUUUUGGUUCAGUUUCACUAGCCACACCCAGUUCUGCAGAAUCAAGAAACCAAUUAAAAAGAGCCUGUCUGACAACAGAGGUCUUAAAAGGCAACAAAUCAUUCAUAAGCUAAAGAAAUGCAAGAGCAGGUUGGUUGUCAACGUUUCAUUUUUGUUUACCGAGAGCUUCAGUAAACUCAAGAAUAACAGUGGCUGUUUCACUCCUAAAGACACUGACUGAACAAAUUAAAGUGCUGAUUUAUCAGGUACAUUUACAAGUUAAUACAUUUAUGUUUGUGUUAAAAAGAAAUAAAUACUCAGAGUCAAUUCA
Molecule: long non-coding RNA, 2178 nt
Organism: Xiphophorus couchianus (Monterrey platyfish)
Lineage: Eukaryota; Metazoa; Chordata; Actinopteri; Cyprinodontiformes; Poeciliidae
Exons: 2
Source: RefSeq, a predicted model, not a curated record